UGAAUUCGAAGUAAAAAUAUAUAUAAAUAUGAUCCGAUCAAAUACCCCCAUACUUAGCUUUUGUUAGUCCUCGAGCAAAACAAAGAAAACAUGAAAAAGUACUAACAUGAAAAAACAUUAGUUUCCCCCGAUGUGACCCUCAUAGAAUUUCAUUUGAGAACAAAAAUCAUCAAGAACCAUGGCUAGCACCAAACAAAAUAAUCCAAGUUCAUCUUCCUAAUUCAAAUAUUAGCAGUAAUCUUUAAAUCAUCCUUGAAGUGUAGUGUGUGAGAUAGCCAUGCUAAUGCAAUUUCAAGUUUUUAUUUUUAAAAUCAUCAUAUGCAAACUAGCGACCUUCUCACUGGAUAUGCACUCAAUCACAUGUGUUUAGUUUUAAUGUGUUUCGCUCAAAGAAUAAAAUGUGAAAGUUCUACCAUAAGCUUGCAUAAAGAUCACUUCUCCACAGUCAUAAUUGCAAAACUUAAAUCAAGAGGACUUUUAUUGGAUGUAAUGAGGCUUAGGGAUAGGGUUAUUGAAACGAAAGAAUAGGAAAACACAAGUUCCAAGCUACAUUGCAAGCAAUUCUUUUGUCUAGAUUUAUAAGAACUCAAGCUCUCCAACGAUUCUUCUGAAAUCUCCAACCACAACCUUAAACUGAAACUUUAAAAACUUUUAUUUUCUUUGUAUACAAUCUUUCUUUUUCUUUUUCUUUUUCUUUUUUUUUUUUUUUUUUUUUUUUUUUUUUUUUUUUUUUUUAAAUACAAACAUGAAAUACCCCCACACUUAUUCUUUUGCCAAACACCUUCACAGUACUUAACAAACGUUUCUCAUAAGACAAUCUCGCAUUACUCGCUUGGAAAAGGGUAAGGAAAAAUGUUUCAGGUAUAAGGGUAGACAUAUCUGGUGAUAAGAAACAAAAGGUUCAACAUAUACGGUUCAAAUUGGCAAUCUAAUGAUAUCAUUUUUCUUUGGGAAACAUGGUUAUUUGGGCCAUGGUGGUAAACCUAAUGCCUCUAUCAUUUCCAAGUUCAUGCAAUCAAUGACAAACAUUUCGAAAGAUCGUUACGCAAGUUCUAGAGAUGUAUCUCACAUAAGUUCAUCACACAUAAAAAAAAUAGGAGUGUAUGAAAAAUGCACACA
RNAcentral lists this long non-coding RNA (1119 nucleotides) under Malus domestica (apple). Its description in RNAcentral is "long non-coding RNA (MDOM_LNC019063)". The record is from RNAcentral. Lineage: Eukaryota; Viridiplantae; Streptophyta; Magnoliopsida; Rosales; Rosaceae.